This is a long non-coding RNA of Diospyros lotus (date-plum), 1277 nucleotides long. RefSeq lists it as uncharacterized. The transcript has 3 exons. The record is from RefSeq and is a predicted model, not a curated record. Lineage: Eukaryota; Viridiplantae; Streptophyta; Magnoliopsida; Ericales; Ebenaceae.
GUGAGGGCCGAGAGCCUUCGUGCGAUUGCAAGCGAGAGAGAUUGAGAGAAAGCUUGCAAGAGAGAGAGAGUGAGAGCAUAAGAGGGAGAGAGAGAUCGAGAGAGUGAUGGUGGCAGCCAUGGCCGCGAGGCUGGUGCUCGGAGGGGUGACCGAUGGCAGCGGCGGCUCGCGUGGUGGCCGUGGUGAUCAGCGGCCAUAGAGGAAGCUGAUGAUGGUGGAGACAACGUCGAAGGCCGCGGUGGCGGCCAGUUGCAGCGGCCAACAGCGGAAGCUGUCAUUGCCGAUGGGUUGCAGAUGAAGGCAGCAACGAGUGAGGCCGAGCAAAGCUAGAGGCAGCGUGCGGCCGAAGCUGGAAGCGGUCGUGGUUGGUUGCUCCGAUGGUAGAGGUGGCGGCGGCGUCGACCGAAGGCACUAGAAAAGCUGGCAGCGGCGGCCAUGGCAGAACGCUGGAGGUCCAGCGCGCAGGGCGGUGGCUCGCGAUGGUGGCAGCUCGCGUCUGCGGGUGCUGGCGGAGGCGGCUGAGGCCGCGAGUGGCGGCCAGCGAUAGCAGCAGGCAAGCGGUGGCUGCCAGCGGUUGGGCGCGCGCAGGUCGGCCGCGCAAGGAAGAAGAAGCGUGAAUAGUGGCUGCGCACGGGAGAAAGAAACAAGGAAGAAAAGAAAGAAAAAAAUAAAGAAGAAAAAGAAAAAUAAGAAAAGAAAAUGAAAGAAAAUAUGGGAAAAAGGGAAAAAUAAGAGAAAAAAAUCCAGAAAGUGGGAGAAAAUUCUGGAAAUUAUUUUGGGGCUUGAGGAGCUUGUCAGAAGCUCGAAAAUGAGAUUUUGGGAACAAAUGGAAGCUCGGGAGGCAACGUCAAUGUGGGCAUUCUCGAAAUUCUCUCCAAAUGAGUCGAGGUUUGACCGGGGAGGCGGUGAUCCUAGAGGAACUAGAGGUUCGGGCUGGAGUUCGUGCCGAGGCGGAGUUGAGGCUUCGAGCCAGAUGAUGCAAGUCCAGAUGCAAGCAGGGAUGGUGCCGGGAGACUGUUGUGGCGAUUAGCUUGUUGCCUGAGAUGUGUUGUAGUGUACUCUCCGUUAUUUUCAUUCAUGUAUUUAUGUGAUUGAUUGUAAGCGCUAUUGAGCACUAGAUGUGUUUAAUUAUUGUAAUCAUUAUUCUCUGAUAAAUGAUUGUGAGAUUAUUCAUUGAAUAUGGCUUAGUUGGAGAAGCCGAGUUUCCGAACGAGUAAAGUUCAGCGAGGUACGUUCUCAUAAAUCUCCAAUACUCAGCGAAGUGUUUGUAUGCUAGC